GCAAGGUAGAAGCUGAGAGGGACGAGAAAAGAGAAGAAGGAGAGGCCAGAGAACGGAGUUCUGAGGUCUCUGAGGGCCUUACUUCCGGGUGGUCUUCAAGCUGUGGAAGUCCUGGCACUGCCUGGGACUGGAGCAGGACCAAGGUGGAUGGAUGGCUUUCAUCAAAUCAACUGAAGACCUCAAAGGCAAAGACUGAAAGAAUGCUGAUUCGAGAUUGGCACAACAAUUCCAUGAGCGUUUACAACUUUCUUCCUUGCAGAAUUCACCCUGCACACUGCAGCAUCAACCUUUGCUGAAGUUUCGGGUUGCCGUUUGCUCUGAGUACCAUCCCUCCCACGGUCAGCAUCCGGCAGGAGAAGAAGCCACAGGGACUUCUCUUUGUCACCCACCGUCCACAGCCUGAGAGUUUAUUCUGGGAGAUGUGUCACUGUGGAUUUUGACCAAAGCUGAAUGACAUGUUUCUACCCUCCACUUUGCUUUUUCCGUAAGGAAGAAUUCCAGCUGCGUAGCUUCAAAGACUCUACUUCCUCCCUGCUGGGCUGCAAGCGGAGAAUUAUCACCCUGGGAACAGCGAGGGUCUGAAACGCAGGAGCUGAGCCGGCCCCGUGUAGCUGAAGGGACCUUGCUGAAUCUCUCUAAAAGUCAUUUGUUCCUGUUCUGGAGAUCGUCUGUCAGUAUUGGGAGCAUUACUGAGCCACAGACGUCGCUUUCAUUCCUUCAUAAAGCCCAGCUGCUGGGACUUGUCGACCAGGGAAGAUUUCACCCAUGGUGGAAAAUGCAAGGUUGAAACAGGAGUCCUGCUGCUCUCCAGCGCAGUGGGAGGUCCUCCUGGGUGCUCUUCUUUCCUGGCAGAAAGAGGAAGUGCUAGAGAAAUGGCCUUUGAGUUCUGCUAUCAGCAGUGGGGAGGCUGUGGUGAGUUUGAGUUUGGUUUUAAAAGGAGUGAUUAGCAUCUCUCUAAGAAGGUCAGAGAGAAAGCUGCUUGGGGGCUGUGGAGAGGGAUGAGGGACAGAUUUGACAUAGCUGUCAUUACCUCCCAAGGAGGCCCAAAGGGCUUGGAAAAUCAUCAAAGCAGGAAUUCCCAAAGUGCAUGGUCAGGAAAUUCUUGAAAACAAAGUUUUGUUUGCAGAAGUAGGUUGCAGGACGCCAUUGACGGAGCAGUAAAACUUGGGUUUCCAGGAGUUUGUUAUAAGCAGGGUGGUACGGAACCAGAACGACGUAUCAAUAAAAGAGAAGGGCCCCAGAUGUGAGAAACACAAUUGAUACGCGGGCCCUGUGUUGGAUGAAUGUACCUUACACAGUUAGUCAGUUCCCUGGAAGAGCUCUAGAACUCACCUCGUGCCUCACAGGAACUAGGGACAUGAUAAACAUCCGGUGAAUGAAAACCUUUAAGUCUGAUGUUGCAACUUCCUGGGCUGUUGAGAACAAUGGUGAGACCACAAUGGCCUCUUCUGUGUGGUGAGUAGGGAAGGACCCUGUUGGCUGAACUUACAGCAUCUGUUUGAUAAACCAGUUACUGGAGUCGGCCCAGCCAGAUGCCCGGCGGGAAAACGCAUCUCUGAUGUGGUUUUGAGCACAUUCUGUUUUGUUUUGUUUUUUUCUCCCCUCAUGGCGUUUCCUUCUCUGAGUUCUUAUGACUCCUUCUUUGCACUCCUCUCACAUCGCUUCGACUGGGAAAGAAGAGCAAAGCGCUCAGAGCUAGGAUUCCUCGGUUCAGGGAGUAACCAGGGAAGGAAGUACUUACUGGCAGCUUUGUUGGCAGGACUCUGGAGAGGCUGACUUCUAUGGUCUUGGUAGCCCAGACUAGGCUGAAACAGCUGUACAGCCAGUGCUGACCCUCCAUCCUCCUGCUACUACCUCCCAAGGGCUGAGAUGAUAGAUGUCUACCACCGUGCCUGGCCAUGGGCAUUUGAAGGCAAAUUACAGGUGCUGCAGGAACCCAGGAAGACGGAGAGCAACAGACCCAGGAGGCCACAGCUGGAAACAAAAGCGAGGACUCAGUUCUAGGGGUGUUCCAAAUAUGGAAGCCUUCUGUCAGAUUCCCCAUGAAUCCACGGGAGACCGUGAUUGUCACAUAAAAAGACAGAGAUUUCUCCUUCUUACCUCCCACAUUGUUGUUUUAACCAUUUUACAACUAAGCUAUGGUGAAGACCUUGGUCCACUUAUGAAAACGGAUCCGUCCCUCUCGUCUAAGACUGUGUCCAUUGCAAAAACGGCAGGUUCAAAGUGAGGGCAUCUUUGUUGCUCCGUUGACUUAUUUUUGGGUUUCUCCCCUCUCUGUGACUCCUCAGUGUCUCACGAGUUCCUCCUCUCCCUGCCGACCCUUCACAGACUCCAUCUCACUCACGACACACGGACAUGGCAUCCCUACGAAGGCGGUGAUGAUCAGGUUUCAAAGGACAAUGCAGCACGCUGAGGAGAAACCAUCUCCAGAAAGCAAGGACCCCUAAGACUCGCAAGAUAAAAGGACCUUAUUUUCUUGGCAAGCUCCGUAGAUGUUCUGCAAUGACGGAUGAUAUGACUGUUAUCUUGACACCGUACUCUCCCAUGUUGAAACUGUUUAUGAGAACCAAACAUCAUAUGAAGAACAGAUUGCCAGACGCUAAGUAAAUCAUUGUAAAGGGUGGUGAGUCAAGUAUUGCCAGUUUUACCCACAUUGUCAUUGUUAUGAUGUAACACAUUCCUUAAGACUGAUAUUGUCUCCAAAUUUGGGCACAAAAGCCUCCUCUUGAUCAGUUGGCUGAGAGCCUCUCCCUCCUGAUAUGUCCCACUUAGACACAGCUGCAGAGACCCACGCAUCCAGAUUUGGACAGACACCCAACCUGAGUUAAGCACAAAGAACAACCCAGAAAAGAUAGAAUAUUUUAAAAGGUGUGCGGAGAUUACACAAACUGUAAAUUUCAACCCUUGCUCAAGCAAUAAACCCUGUAAUCCUCUAAGCUCUGCUAGCCAUGAUUAAUAAACAGUGGGUGUGCUAAGCAUAUGGAAAAAUCAUCCCAUCUGGACCAUUUAAAACUAGGACAUAGACUUUAUCUUUGUUUAUUUCAUCCUUAGCUAAAAGGCUUAUUAUGAAUUGCAAUAAUCCAAGAAGCCAACCAUGGAGGACAGACAAACUCUUUAGAUAAAACCAAAAAAGCAAGCUCUGUAACUGAGGACCAGAUGUAUUUUUGGGUUUAGCUCUUGUACAUAUUUAGCCGAGCUUUUCAAGUGGGGAAGAUUUGCAUGUUUGUUUUGCAAUACUAAUGAAUAUGUUUUUGAUUUACAUUUUAGAAAAUGGAAACUUUUAUCUUCUUGGGGCUUUGUAACUUAAUGACUUCCAGAGGGUAGCUUCAUGUCCUCUUUUAACCCUUCACCAUGAGAAACAUAUCUCGUUCAGAGGCCCAGCGCUGGGUCUUGCCGAAUGAACCCCCCCUAAGAUAAUGUGAUUCUGUCUUUGCUGCUGGGAUGGUAAGGGUGAAAGAGCAUAUGACUUUCAAUCUAGUGAAAACAUAUGUAAAUGGCAAAUUAUUUUUAAACUGGCUUUAAUGUGAAUCUUGGGGGUAUAAAAAUGACUUCACAGAUGAUCUUUAUAUUAGACAAGCAAGCAGAGCUCUUUGGGAUAAACGUUUGCUUUGGGAGGUAGAAUCUUCAGUAUUGCUUCAACUUCCUCAGCGAUAAAGAUUGUUGGAAGAGCAAAAUGUCACAGUAUUUUUAAAAAUUACUCCAGAAGAUAUCCGUAGGGUCAGAUCUUCCUUCCUUUCAACUUCUUUGAAGAUGUUACGUGGGAAAAAAAAAUCAGUAAACACAUUUUACCCCCAGGACUUCCUUUCUUUGUAAUUUGGGUUGGACAGGGACCUUAUCAGAAAUGGAAAAAUUUAUCCUUGAGGGGUAAGAGUGUUUUAGAAGAAGAUAUAAUGAGAGCUGUGAACUCUCAUUCUAUGACAAAUGGUCUGAAGAGAUUGCCUUUCUUCUAAACUCUUCUAGUGGUUUUAAAAAGCAGCAUGCGGCAGACUAGAAAGACACCUUUAGAACCUGUGUUGGGGCCAUGAAAUCUCUGAAAUGCUUAGCUUUCUGGGACAAAUGGAGGUGUUAGGUCACAUGGAGCAUGAAACCAUGGGGGAACAUUUUACAUUGGUUCCACAGUUGUGAGUUGUGCUGAGGCUCAUUGAAAUUGUACUGGUGAGGACCAUGUAGUUCCCUGAUAAGGAACCUAGUGGCAUUUUUAUGGUGUCACAUCUGAGAGGCAUCUGACCAGGAGACCCUAAGCCCACUUCUUCUCAUGGGAAAUCGUUUUACCCCUGGAGACUAUUUCUCCCACUCAGCGUCUGUUAAUAACUAGUUUAAACUUUCCAGACAGUUUUAUAGUGUUGUAUUAAAAUUAGAUACAUAUUUGCUGAGAGUUCUUGGAUAGCAAGCGUUUUCUAACACAAUUUCUUCAAAACAAGAAAGGUGGAAAUGUGGUGUAAUAAUUCCUUAUUUUCCCUUUGAAAGCCCUCCAAAGCUUUCAGUUCUAGUCUAUUUUAAGGCUCUACAGAAAACUACCUAUAUGUCUUUAAAAACUAGAUACCUUUCUUAUUAUUCUGAAUUCCAGACUAGAAACAUGCUUCUUUCAGUAUGACCUUAAUUUCUUAUCUUAAAUUAUUUAUUCAUGAUUUACUUGUUAAUUUAUCCUCCUAUGUAAUGAAGAGGAAGGGAACAAUUAACUAACUGAUUCUCUAAACAUUGCAUGCCAGGGAUUUAGUACUAGUUAUUUGAUUAUCUUAGAAGAAAGUACACACAGGUCUUACAGAGGAAAGCUGAAGUGUUGAGAACUGCCCCAGCCUGUGGAAGAGCUAACAUUCAAACUCCAGUCCAUCUGCUUUCUCAAAUAAUUUUCUGUGUCCACUGUUUCCCAAUCAUCAAUCUAAAGCCUUUUGGAUGGGGCUUCAGGACUACUCCAGGUAUCUGGAAAUCCUACGGGGCACGAAAAAGUCAUUUUGGGUAAGCCGUAGGAGCACGCGGUAAGAGGGUGGAGAACAGAAGAACAAUAGUGGCCUUGGCCUCUCCUUUCUAACUGGUGCACAGAUUCUUUGGAAACUCUGAGGAGUCUUAAGGAUGUUUACCUAGGAAACCACAUACACAGCUAACAAACACUUGCUUCAAUUUUUAGUAACUUGAAUGUGUGAUGAAGCUGAUUGGGUUGAUGGGGUUCUGCUGUGAGUCUGCCCCCAAUCUCCAAUGUCCUAAAGUGUGGUCCGUGCCUAGCAGCAGCAGCAGCAGCAGCAGCAGCAGCAGCAGCAGCAGCAGUUUCUGCACGUUCUUAGAAGAGAGAGUCUCUGGUCCCCAUCAGAUCUGGGACAUGAAAUAAAAUGCUAGACGUUAAGGAUGUUCUUUGGGUCAUCUAGCGUUAUUCCUCAGACAUUCUUGAAUGACUGACUACCCAUUGCUUUUUAGAACACCUCAAGGGAAACAAAGUCUUCUGAAGUGAGUCCCCUGCUCUUGGUCAGUCCCCUAGUCAAGUUCUUUUAUAAAUGGAAAUGAAAUCUGCCUCCCUCCCUUGUUAUGGCUCCCAUUUCUGCCCUGUCAGCUGACAGUUUGAAGCUUCUUCCCUGUUUGAGAGUCAGCCCUGAAUAUUUCCUUGUUCUGUAGACACGGGAAUUACAGUCGACAAUGUAGAGUCAAACUUGGGCUAGUUACACAUGUAGCAAAUUCUUGAAUGUGUACAUUAAAAUCCUCCAAUAUCCCUGAAAUAUGGCAUUACAUAAGCUCUCAGUCAAUCAUGACAUUGUGAAGGGAAGAGGGGAGGUCAAAUAUUUGGCUGAAAGAGCUCACAUUAUUAAGAUUAUAUUAAGGAUUCAAUUUUGUGCAAGCCUUCCUGUAAGUUUCCCUUUUCCAUCCCCCUGUCUCACAUCACGCCUCUCUCCUGCUAGCUUGAAUUGUCAGCACACCUGUACCUUUUUAAUGGUUAUGGUUAAACCCCAGUGCCAGCUGGAGAGAAAGGUCACGUUUCAUGGUGGGUGUAACUGGAGAAUAGUGUUUCUUAGGAGUAGAGGUGGCAGCGCCUUUUGGGAAAGCUUGAGAACAUAGGCUUAUUCAAAAGCCACUUACCUUGGGUACUGAAUUAUCUUAGAAAAAAAAUACUUGAUCAGGCCUCCAUUGUUAUUGUGGCUCUCCCUCAUAUAGUCAGGGAUUGAGUGAGUGGUCAGAACAAGACAGGUCGCCAAACAGAGGUAGGAUCUGAACUGCAAGCAAAGGAAAGCUGCAGGUAAUUGGAUCUAGUAUGUAAUAUGAGGUUUAUUACACGCUUUCACACCUCUUCUCUGUAUGAAUGGAUGGAUGGUUUCCCUUGUCUAGUGGCCACGAAUCAUCUUUCUUAAUGGAAACCACGUUUGCUGUCAGAGUAAUUAAAAAGUAACUCCUAUUUCUAUAGUUUCUAUAGCAAGCCUGUUACCAAAGUGACCUGGUGAUGGAAUGCAGACAUUGGUGAGUACCCCCACAGUCUUUCAAACUUCAGAGUGCCUUUCAAGGGAAAGUCACGAUGUAUAGACCAACAGUACUUAAACUGUAGAAUCACCCUGGCUUCAAAAGAGAUAGGGGGACAUCGGAAAGAUGGAAAGUGCUUAGCGCUUGAGUUUAAAAAUUUUUCGUUUCAUUUGUAGAAACACAAAAAUAUCCAAGAUCUAAUCUUAAACUAAAACUUGGCUCUAAGAGACAUGUGCAAUAAAUUAACAGAUUAAAGUUGUUUACACCUUUGGCACUCUAAAUCUCAUAUUUCUGCUUUAAAUAGCUUUCCUGGCAAUUACAUACUAGAAUUUUUCAAUAUAUAAUAAUUCUAAAAGUUGCAUGGUGGAUAACAUUUUGGGGGGUUGUCAAUACCAU
This is a long non-coding RNA of Peromyscus californicus insignis, 6834 nucleotides long. RefSeq lists it as uncharacterized. NCBI's taxonomy places the organism in Eukaryota, Metazoa, Chordata, Mammalia, Rodentia, Cricetidae. The record is from RefSeq and is a predicted model, not a curated record. The transcript has 10 exons.